This 267-nucleotide long non-coding RNA is filed under the name Mytilus galloprovincialis (Mediterranean mussel). Lineage: Eukaryota; Metazoa; Mollusca; Bivalvia; Mytilida; Mytilidae. The record is from RNAcentral.
GUGGUCCUUAUUUUUGAACUUUUAUUAUGUUAUUUUUAAAGGCAAAUGCAAAAUGUGGUAUAAUAUUGUAACUACAGCUGAUAUAUUUUUUUGUAAAAUGAACUAACAAAUACUAACACAUAUAUAUUUUACAUGAUCUUUUACUAACAUUAACGAGGCCGGGAUAAGGUACCGGUAUUCGAUGUUUUCAUUACUAACAAAUGUACAGAUUUCAAUAAAAAAUGAAAAUUAAAAAAAAAAAAAAUAAAUAAAUAAAAAAAACUGCAC